This 253-nucleotide ribosomal RNA is filed under the name uncultured bacterium. RNAcentral describes it as "partial 16S ribosomal RNA". It matches the Rfam family "Bacterial small subunit ribosomal RNA", at positions 524 to 776 of the family's 1533-position model. The record is from RNAcentral.
UACGGAGGGGGCUAGCGUUGUUCGGAAUUACUGGGCGUAAAGCGCACGUAGGCGGCUUUGUAAGUUAGAGGUGAAAGCCCGGAGCUCAACUUCGGAAUUGCCUUUAAGACUGCAUCGCUAGAAUCAUGGAGAGGUCAGUGGAAUUCCGAGUGUAGAGGUGAAAUUCGUAGAUAUUCGGAAGAACACCAGUGGCGAAGGCGACUGACUGGACAUGUAUUGACGCUGAGGUGCGAAAGCGUGGGGAGCAAACAGG